CAGCCGCCGCGGUAAUACGUAGGGUGCAAGCGUUAAUCGGAAUUACUGGGCGUAAAGCGUGCGCAGGCGGUUCGUUAAGACAGAUGUGAAAUCCCCGGGCUUAACCUGGGAACUGCAUUUGUGACUGGCGAGCUAGAGUAUGGCAGAGGGGGGUAGAAUUCCACGUGUAGCAGUGAAAUGCGUAGAGAUGUGGAGGAAUACCGAUGGCGAAGGCAGCCCCCUGGGCCAAUACUGACGCUCACGCACGAAAGCGUGGGGAGCAAACAGGAUUAGAUACCCGCGUAGUCCCUGUCUCUUAUAC
This 301-nucleotide ribosomal RNA is filed under the name uncultured bacterium. RNAcentral describes it as "partial 16S ribosomal RNA". It matches the Rfam family "Bacterial small subunit ribosomal RNA", at positions 509 to 807 of the family's 1533-position model. The record is from RNAcentral.